RNAcentral lists this unclassified non-coding RNA (894 nucleotides) under Hevea brasiliensis (rubber tree). The record is from RNAcentral. Lineage: Eukaryota; Viridiplantae; Streptophyta; Magnoliopsida; Malpighiales; Euphorbiaceae.
GUGGAAAGAAAAGGGCGAAAAAAAUUGUUCGUCCUGCUGAAAGUGACAUUUGCAAAAUUAAGUAUUCAAAAUCAAGAAUUGGGUUUCCUUCUUCUGCCUCUAUCUUCGAUGGAAAUCAGGAAGCUUUGCAACCUGUGGAGAUUGGUAAACAGUUAGGGCUCUCUUCCUCGAAUACUAAUGAAGCCAUCGUCUUUUUUUUUCUUGAUCAACUCAAUGCCGAUGAAGUGAUGCAUUCUAAUGCUAAAUGCUAAUUCCUUUGUUGUGUUCUUGGUGCUGUUCUCAGUUAGGAUUUCUCUUAUUGGAAAAUAACUCAUUUUGAUUUUCAAUGUGCCAUUAUAUGUGUCUAUGGGCCUGUUGACAUCCACUUGCAAGAAUGUCUUUGGAAUGAUUUGUUUCAGAUUCUUGCAGUCUCUAAAAAUCAGGUUUGGUUCAUUCUACUUUAGCAAUGGAAUUGUGUUUUAAGGGUCUUGAGAGAUGAUGUGAUGCAUGGCAUGAUUUGGUUUUAUUUCCAUUAUGGAGAUUGAUGGUUUGCAAACUUUUGGAAGAGAAAGGCCAGUGUUGAAAUUCGUUUUUAUUCAAAUUCGGUGAAGUGUUUUUUGGCCAAUUGCAAGAUGGGCAGCUUUAUGGCAACUUGCUUUGUAUUAAUGUUUUUGGAGCAAGAUUAACUUCUAAAGCUUGCCAGAGUAUCAGGAAGUGAGCAGUGGUUCGAUAGAGAAACUUCCUUGGAAUCAAGUGUAAAGGUUUAAAAUUCUUUUGUUUGUAGCAGAGAAGAAAGAAACUUGCACACGCUAAAAAUGGUCACUAGAAUAGUGGAUCUCUGGUCUAAAGUUGUUAUUGGGCACAAUUACCUCAUCCACAUUUAUGAGAAUUGAGGCAUUUCAACUCUUGGAGGUG